GCCUGGGUGGCUCAAUCGGUUAAGUGUCUGACUUUGGCUCAGGUCAUGAUCUCACGGUUUGUGGAUUCAAGCCCCACACUGGGCU
This 85-nucleotide transfer RNA is filed under the name Felis catus (domestic cat). It matches the Rfam family "tRNA". From Rfam's summary of the family: Transfer RNA (tRNA) molecules are approximately 80 nucleotides in length. Lineage: Eukaryota; Metazoa; Chordata; Mammalia; Carnivora; Felidae. The record is from Rfam by way of RNAcentral.